Molecule: ribosomal RNA, 695 nt
Filed under: Chryseobacterium sp. XYL_418
Lineage: Bacteria; Pseudomonadati; Bacteroidota; Flavobacteriia; Flavobacteriales; Weeksellaceae
Description: bacterial SSU rRNA
Rfam family: Bacterial small subunit ribosomal RNA
Source: RNAcentral
CGGAUGUGUAAGUCAGUGGUGAAAUCUCGCAGCUUAACUGCGAAACUGCCAUUGAUACUGCAUGUCUUGAGUAAAUUUGAAGUGGCUGGAAUAAGUAGUGUAGCGGUGAAAUGCAUAGAUAUUACUUAGAACACCAAUUGCGAAGGCAGGUCACUAAGAUUUAACUGACGCUGAUGGACGAAAGCGUGGGGAGCGAACAGGAUUAGAUACCCUGGUAGUCCACGCCGUAAACGAUGCUAACUCGUUUUUUGUGCUUCGGCAUGAGAGACUAAGCGAAAGUGAUAAGUUAGCCACCUGGGGAGUACGUUCGCAAGAAUGAAACUCAAAGGAAUUGACGGGGGCCCGCACAAGCGGUGGAUUAUGUGGUUUAAUUCGAUGAUACGCGAGGAACCUUACCAAGACUUAAAUGGGAAAUGACAGAUUUAGAAAUAGAUCCUUCUUCGGACAUUUUUCAAGGUGCUGCAUGGUUGUCGUCAGCUCGUGCCGUGAGGUGUUAGGUUAAGUCCUGCAACGAGCGCAACCCCUGUCACUAGUUGCUAGCAUUAAGUUGAGGACUCUAGUGAGACUGCCUACGCAAGUAGAGAGGAAGGUGGGGAUGACGUCAAAUCAUCACGGCCCUUACGUCUUGGGCCACACACGUAAUACAAUGGCCGGUACAGAGGGCAGCUACACAGCGAUGUGAUGCAAAUCUCGAA